RNAcentral lists this ribosomal RNA (1432 nucleotides) under uncultured organism. Its description in RNAcentral is "bacterial SSU rRNA". It matches the Rfam family "Bacterial small subunit ribosomal RNA". The record is from RNAcentral.
CUCAGGAUGAACGCUAGCGGCGCGCUUAAUGCAUGCAAGUCGAGCGAUGAGGCCCUCUUCGGAGGGUACAUCAGCGGCAGACGGGUGAGUAACACGUAGGUGACCUGCCCUAAAGCUGGGGAUAACGGAUGGAAACAUACGCUAAUACCCAAUAGACCUGUGAGGUCGCACUCAUAGGUAAAGCUCCGGCGCUUUAGGAGGGGCCUGCGGCCCAUCAGCUAGUUGGUAGGGUAACGGCCUACCAAGGCGAAGACGGGUAGGGGGUGUGAGAGCACGACCCCCCACAAUGGGACUGAGACACGGCCCAUACUUCUACGGGAGGCAGCAGCAGGGAAUAUUGCACAAUGGACGCAAGUCUGAUGCAGCGACGCCGCGUGGAUGAUGAAGGCCCUCGGGUCGUAAAAUCCUUUUCAGGGGGACGAGGAAGGACGGUACCCCUGGAAUAAGCGUCGGCUAACUACGUGCCAGCAGCCGCGGUAAGACGUAGGACGCAAGCGUUAUCCGGAUUUACUGGGCGUAAAGCGUCUGUAGGCGGUUCAAUAAGUUGGGCGUGAAAGCUCCGGGCUUAACCCGGAGAGGCCGUUCAAUACUGUCGAACUAGAGGACAUCAGAGGAGCAUGGAAUUUCCGGUGUAGCGGUAAAAUGCGCAGAUAUCGGAAGGAACACCAGUGGCGAAGGCGGUGCUCUGGGGUGGGCCUGACGCUGAGAGACGAAAGCUAGGGGAGCGAACAGGAUUAGAGACCCUGGUAGUCCUAGCCUUAAACGAUGGAUGCUAGGUGUGGGGCCGAGAAGGCUCUGUGCCGCAGUUAACGCGCUAAGCAUCCCGCCUGGGGAUUACGGCCGCAAGGCUAAAACUCAAACGAAUUGACGGGGCCCCGCACAAGCAGCGGAGCGUGUGGUUUAAUUCGAUGCUACACGAAGAACCUUACCUGGGUUUGACAUGUACGUGGUAGAGAAGCGAAAGCGGAUCGACCCUUCGGGGAGCGUACACAGGUGCUGCAUGGCUGUCGUCAGCUCGUGCCGUGAGGUGUCGGGUUAAGUCCCGUAACGAGCGCAACCCUUGCCCUUAGUUACAAGUGUCUAAGGGGACUGCCGGCGGUAAGCCGGAGGAAGGUGGGGAUGACGUCAAGUCAGCAUGGCCCUUAUAUCCAGGGCUACACACACGCUACAAUGGUCAGUACAAAGGGCAGCGAAGCCGCGAGGUGAAGCGAAUCCCAACAAAGCUGAUCUAAGUUCGGAUUGCAGGCUGCAACUCGCCUGCAUGAAGCUGGAGUUGCUAGUAACCGCGCGUCAGCUAUAGUGCGCUGAAUACGUUCCCGGGGCUUGUACACACCGCCCGUCACGUCAUGGGAGUCGGUAACGCCUGAAGCUGGUAGUCUGGCCCGCAAGGGGGACGCCAUCAAAGGCGGGGCUGGCCAACUGGGACGAAGUC